This is a long non-coding RNA of Oncorhynchus tshawytscha (Chinook salmon), 702 nucleotides long. The record is from Ensembl. NCBI's taxonomy places the organism in Eukaryota, Metazoa, Chordata, Actinopteri, Salmoniformes, Salmonidae.
GGGGGAGAAGAGAGAGAGAGAGGUAAGUAGCCAGGGGGUAAAGACAGAGAGAGAGAGAGGUAAGUAGCCAGGGGGAAAAGAGAGAGAGAGAGGUAAGUAGCCAGGGGGUGAAAAGAGAAAGAAAGAGAGGUAAGUAGCCAGGGGGAAAAGACAGAGAGAGAGAGAGAGAGGUAAGUAGCCAGGGGGAAAGAGAAAGAGAGAGAGGUAAGUAGCCAGCGGGUGAAAAGAGAAAGAUAGAGAGUUAAGUAGCCAGGGGGAAAGACAGAGAGAGAGAGAGAGGUAAGUAACCAGGGGGAAAAGAGAGAGAGAGGUAAGUAGCCAGGGGGGAAAAGUGAGAGAGAGAUGUAAGUAGCCAGGGGGGAAAAGAGAGAGAGAGAGGUAAGUAGCCAGGGGGAAAAAGACAGAGAGAGAGAGAGGUAAGUAGCCAGGGGGGAAAGAGAGAGAGAGGUAAGUAGCCAGGGGGAAAAGAGAGAGAGAGAGGUAAGUAGCCAGGGGGAAAAGACAGAGAGAGAGGUAAGUUGCCAGGGGGAAAAGACAGAGAGAGAGGUAAGUAGCCAGGGGGAAAAGACAGAGAGAGAGAGGUCAGUAGCCAGGGGGAAAGAGAGAGAGAGAGAGAGUUAAGUAGCCAGGGGGAAAAGAGAGAGAGAGAGAGUUAAGUAGACAGGGGGAAAAGACAGAGAGAGAGAGAGAAGUAAGUAGCCA